CCUACGGGAGGCAGCAGUGAGGAAUAUUGGUCAAUGGACGAGCGUCUGAACCAGCCAAGUAGCGUGAAGGAUGACUGACCUAUGGGUUGUAAACUUCUUUUACAAAGGAAUAAAACGAGGCACGUGUGCAGUAUGGCAUGGACAUAAUGAAUAAGGAUGGGCAGACUCCGAGCCAGCAGCCGCGGUAAUACGGAGGAUCCGAGCGUUAUACGGAUUUAUUGGGUUUAAAGGGAGCGUAGAUGGGUUGUUAAGUCAGUUGUGAAAGUUUGCGGCUCAACCGUAAAAUUGCAAUUGAUACUGGCAGUCUUGAGUACAGUUGAGGUAGGCGGAAUUCGUGGUGUAGCGGUGAAAUGCUUAGAUAUCACGAAGAACCCCGAUUGCGAAGGCAGCUUACUAAACUGUGACUGACAUUGAUGCUCGAAAGUGUGGGUAUCAAACAGGAUUAGAUACCCGGGUAGUC
RNAcentral lists this ribosomal RNA (460 nucleotides) under uncultured bacterium. Its description in RNAcentral is "partial 16S ribosomal RNA". It matches the Rfam family "Bacterial small subunit ribosomal RNA", at positions 338 to 795 of the family's 1533-position model. The record is from RNAcentral.